UGGGGAAUUUUGGACAAUGGGCGAAAGCCUGAUCCAGCCAUGCCGCGUGAGUGAAGAAGGCCUUCGGGUUGUAAAGCUCUUUUAGUCGGAAAGAAAGAGUUGCAAUGAAUAAUUGUGAUUUAUGACGGUACCGACAGAAAAAGCACCGGCUAACUACGUGCCAGCAGCCGCGGUAAUACGUAGGGUGCGAGCGUUAAUCGGAAUUACUGGGCGUAAAGGGUGCGCAGGCGGUCUUGCAAGUCAGAUGUGAAAGCCCCGGGCUUAACCUGGGAAUUGCGUUUGAGACUACAAGACUAGAGUGCAGCAGAGGGGAGUGGAAUUCCAUGUGUAGCAGUGAAAUGCGUAGAGAUGUGGAAGAACACCGAUGGCGAAGGCAGCUCCCUGGGUUGACACUGACGCUCAUGCACGAAAGCGUGGGGAGCACACA
Molecule: ribosomal RNA, 427 nt
Filed under: uncultured beta proteobacterium
Lineage: Bacteria; Pseudomonadati; Pseudomonadota; Betaproteobacteria
Description: bacterial SSU rRNA
Rfam family: Bacterial small subunit ribosomal RNA
Source: RNAcentral